Ornithorhynchus anatinus (platypus) is the source of this 138-nucleotide small nucleolar RNA. The record is from RefSeq and is a predicted model, not a curated record. NCBI's taxonomy places the organism in Eukaryota, Metazoa, Chordata, Mammalia, Monotremata, Ornithorhynchidae.
UCCCUCUCAGGAUUGCACCUGGAGAGUUCUCAGUACUCUGCCGGUCUCGGCUAUGAGAAGGAGAGUCAAGCAGAGGCCUACCCAUUCCAUUCCUAGCUUGGGCAGUGGCUAGCGAGUGGAGGACAAUCUGCUACAAGU